Long non-coding RNA from Octopus sinensis (East Asian common octopus), 460 nucleotides. RefSeq lists it as uncharacterized. The record is from RefSeq and is a predicted model, not a curated record. NCBI's taxonomy places the organism in Eukaryota, Metazoa, Mollusca, Cephalopoda, Octopoda, Octopodidae. The transcript has 3 exons.
UGGUGAUAGUGAUGGUCGUUAUGCUGUUGCUGGUGGGAAUGAUGAUGGUGAUAGUGAUGCUGUUGAUGCUUUGGUCGUCGUCAUCGUCAUUUUGAUCGUCGGACUAUUGGUGAUUAUGAUGGCGGCAGCAAUGAAGAUACUUCGACUUCAUUUUUUGAUUUGGUUUUGAAUGGUUUGGAGUAUUUAUCAAGAAGAGUAAGGAGAAAGAAGAGGAGAACGAGAGGAGAAAAAGUAAAAGCAAAGAACAAUAAGAUGGAGAACAACAGCAACAACAAAAACAACAGCAUCGACAAGCAGGGAAGUCGGAGGAGGGAGAAGAAAAAGAAUCUUUCAGAUUGGAAUCAUAUCUGACAGACUAUAUCAUCAACCAAGAUAUGCAGAAGAAGAGGGAAAAGCAAUAAAUAAUACCGAAUGAAAUGCGACGAAGGUAUUGAAGAGAGAGAAAACGGAAAAUGAUAGG